AUUGGGUCCAUGUGUAAUAAUACGACCAAUUGGGUCUACGACCAAUUGGGUCUUUAUAAAGUUUACGACCAAUUGGGUCGUUUUGAAAGAGUUUCAUUUUAUAUAACAAUAUCGUUUUAAUCGUUGUAAACAAAAUUGUCUUCGUUUUAGAUACAGAAUGAUUGCUGUCAAGUACGAGGACGUACACUAAUAGGAUGACCG
This 201-nucleotide unclassified non-coding RNA is filed under the name Melitaea cinxia (Glanville fritillary). RNAcentral describes it as "misc RNA ENSMCXG00005018481.1". Lineage: Eukaryota; Metazoa; Arthropoda; Insecta; Lepidoptera; Nymphalidae. The record is from RNAcentral.